AGCGUGCCAGUGAAUCUCGAGACCCUCCAGGAAGGAGAAGCCGUUGGAGAUCAAAAGAAACCCAUAUGAGAAGGGAGAAAACAACAGAUUUGGAGUUUGAAGCAAGGAGAGAGAAGAAAAAGCUCAAGCAGAAAAGGAAGAAGGAUGAACCUGAUAGAAAUUCCUCUUUGAUUGAAGUCUCUGAGGAAAAAAUGAAUGAGCUAGUUCAGGUGCAGAAGUUUGACAAGAAUGGUGGAAUUAAUGAGAAAAGUGUCGAAGGGGCCAACAAGAAAAAGAAAAAGAAGAGGGGAAUGGAGGAGGCUGAUAGUGAACUAAAAUCAAACCUGACUAAUGAUCAGGAGCUUGAAAAUGAUUGCAAGAAAUCCAAUGGGAAAAUCACGGAAGAAGUUAACUUUGCAGAUAAUGAAAAGAAGAGAAAGAAACUCUUUGAGGAUGACAAAAUGGGUGAGGCAGCUAAGAGAUUUCAAUGCUCUGAAGACUGUGACAACAAUGGAGAAGGGGAUAAAAAGAAAAUGAAGAAGAAAGAGAAGAGAGAAAAGGUAGAUGGUGAAUGGGUACAGAAGAUCAUAACUGAUGGAAAGGAGGCUGGAGUAGAAAGUGAGCACUCAGAUGGGAAAAUUAUGGAGAAAGAGAAAAGCAACCAUAGAAAGAAGUCAAGAAGUCAAAUGCAGGAAACUGUGGUUGAGAAACUGGGCACAGAAAGCAGUAGAAUUGAAGGAAAUAAUUUCUUGGAGAAUGACGGUAAUGUACAGACAACUGGAGAUGAGACAAGCAACAGUAACAUAGAGGUUGUGUAUGUAGAAGACAGUAAUAAAAGGAAGAAGAGGGCCAAGUCAAAGAAACAUGUUAAUGUAGGGGACUGCAACAAAGACGAAAAGGAAAUAGCCAAGUCAGAUAAAGGAAGUCUAAAAACCCCAAAAAAUGUUAGGGCUCCCGAUCUUUCUGAAAAUUCUACACCUAGAAAACCAUCAAAAAGAGUAAGUUUUUCUGAUGAUGUGCAGGUAGUGUAUGUAGAAGACAAUAAUAAAAGGAAGAAGAGGGCCAAGUCAAAGAAACAUGUUAAUGUAGGGGAAUGCAAUGAAGACGAAAAGGAAAUAGCUAAGUCAGAUAAAGGAAGUCUAAAAGCCCAAAAAAAUGUUAGGGCUCCAAAUCUUUCUGAAAAAUCUACACCUAGAAAACCAUCAAAAAGAGUAAGUUUUUCUGAUGAUGUGCAGGUCUUUCCCCCAUGUGAUGCCCCAAAAGAUGCUGAAAAGGGCUUAGUACAAGGUAAGCGGUUUUCAGAAGAAGAAGACAAGCUUGUAAAAGAGGCUGUUUUAACAUACCUAGAGGAACAUUGCUUAGGUGAUGAAGGCAUCGACAAGGUACUCAAUUGUAGAUCCAAUCCCCAAGUCAAAAAUUGUUGGAAGGAUAUUGGGGCAGCCUUACCCUGGAGGCCUUCUAAGAGCAUAUAUUAUCGAGCUCAUAUUUUAUUUGAACGAGUAUGAAGAAGUAUGAAGAAGUAAGACGUGCCGCCAUGGAAUCUAAGGAUAAAGGUGAAGCCAAACCCAAUUGGAGAAGGGUGGGUAAUGAACUUGGCAAACAUAGAAUUCAUGUCAAGGAUGCUUGGCGUAGAAUCAAACUGCCAAACAUGAAGAAAGGACAUUGGCCCCAAGAGGAGUACAAGACUUUAUUUGAUUUAGUGAACAAGGAUCUGCAGAUGAGGGCGUUGGAAGAAAAGAAAUCCAAGCAUGGCUUGCUGCGAGAUAAUAUCAAGUGGGAGUCAAUCAGUGAGACUUUAGGCACCAGAACCAAUCCCGCUUGCUGCCAGAAGUGGUAUUACCAAUUAACAUCACCUUUGGUAGCUGAAGGUGUGUGGGCUGAUGCUGAUGACUAUCGCCUACUUUAUGCUCUUGAUAGCUUGGAUGCUUGUUGCAUGGAAGACGUUGAUUGGGAUAAUGUUCUUGAGCACAGGUCUGGAGAUGUAUGUCGUAAGCGAUGGAAUCAAAUGGUCAAACACAUUGGUCAGUAUGGGACUAAGUCCUCUGCUGAAAAAGUUGAAAUUUUGUCGAAACGUUAUUGUGCUGAUGCACUUGAAGCAAGAGAAGUCUUCGAUAGUAAGCGUGCAGUUGACUCAGGUUUAUUUGGCAUCAAAGUAGCGGAUGUAAUUGAAACAAGGGAGGAGUCUCUAUAUGAUAGUAGCAAACCUGUCUGUCUCAUCCUCUGCCAUCGAUGCUCGCCGAAAACGCACUGCACUGCAUUGAUUUCUAGGUGCGCUGAUUGAAGUCGGUAUGCAAAAGCAACGCGGACAACAUCCAGUACGGCGGUUGACAACUCCCCAGUGGCACGGUUCGACCAUAAAUAUAUUAUUGACCUCGUGUUUUAUUUGAAUGAGGCGAAAAAACGCAUCUACCUCCGCUUCCAUUCAUGCCAACAAAGUCAGUUUCAUGAAAUAAUUGUGAAAUCCCACACCACUUGUAAUUAUUCAAGUUUGUCUCAAAUAAAAGAUACAUGUUCAUGGCA
Prunus avium (sweet cherry) is the source of this 2499-nucleotide non-coding RNA. The record is from RefSeq and is a predicted model, not a curated record. Lineage: Eukaryota; Viridiplantae; Streptophyta; Magnoliopsida; Rosales; Rosaceae.